This is a non-coding RNA of Acanthosepion pharaonis, 104 nucleotides long. The record is from the annotation of a GenBank genome assembly. Lineage: Eukaryota; Metazoa; Mollusca; Cephalopoda; Sepiida; Sepiidae.
UAUCACGAUGAAACACUGGUUCUCGUACGAUCACUGAAGUUAAGCAACGUCGAGCCUGAUCAGUACCUGGUCGGGUGACCGCUUGGGAAUACUAGAUGUUGAAA